This 1436-nucleotide ribosomal RNA is filed under the name Lactiplantibacillus plantarum. RNAcentral's name for it is "bacterial SSU rRNA". It matches the Rfam family "Bacterial small subunit ribosomal RNA". The record is from RNAcentral. Lineage: Bacteria; Bacillati; Bacillota; Bacilli; Lactobacillales; Lactobacillaceae.
CAUGCAAGUCGAACGAACUCUGGUAUUGAUUGGUGCUUGCAUCAUGAUUUACAUUUGAGUGAGUGGCGAACUGGUGAGUAACACGUGGGAAACCUGCCCAGAAGCGGGGGAUAACACCUGGAAACAGAUGCUAAUACCGCAUAACAACUUGGACCGCAUGGUCCGAGCUUGAAAGAUGGCUUCGGCUAUCACUUUUGGAUGGUCCCGCGGCGUAUUAGCUAGAUGGUGGGGUAAUGGCUCACCAUGGCAAUGAUACGUAGCCGACCUGAGAGGGUAAUCGGCCACAUUGGGACUGAGACACGGCCCAAACUCCUACGGGAGGCAGCAGUAGGGAAUCUUCCACAAUGGACGAAAGUCUGAUGGAGCAACGCCGCGUGAGUGAAGAAGGGUUUCGGCUCGUAAAACUCUGUUGUUAAAGAAGAACAUAUCUGAGAGUAACUGUUCAGGUAUUGACGGUAUUUAACCAGAAAGCCACGGCUAACUACGUGCCAGCAGCCGCGGUAAUACGUAGGUGGCAAGCGUUGUCCGGAUUUAUUGGGCGUAAAGCGAGCGCAGGCGGUUUUUUAAGUCUGAUGUGAAAGCCUUCGGCUCAACCGAAGAAGUGCAUCGGAAACUGGGAAACUUGAGUGCAGAAGAGGACAGUGGAACUCCAUGUGUAGCGGUGAAAUGCGUAGAUAUAUGGAAGAACACCAGUGGCGAAGGCGGCUGUCUGGUCUGUAACUGACGCUGAGGCUCGAAAGUAUGGGUAGCAAACAGGAUUAGAUACCCUGGUAGUCCAUACCGUAAACGAUGAAUGCUAAGUGUUGGAGGGUUUCCGCCCUUCAGUGCUGCAGCUAACGCAUUAAGCAUUCCGCCUGGGGAGUACGGCCGCAAGGCUGAAACUCAAAGGAAUUGACGGGGGCCCGCACAAGCGGUGGAGCAUGUGGUUUAAUUCGAAGCUACGCGAAGAACCUUACCAGGUCUUGACAUACUAUGCAAAUCUAAGAGAUUAGACGUUCCCUUCGGGGACAUGGAUACAGGUGGUGCAUGGUUGUCGUCAGCUCGUGUCGUGAGAUGUUGGGUUAAGUCCCGCAACGAGCGCAACCCUUAUUAUCAGUUGCCAGCAUUAAGUUGGGCACUCUGGUGAGACUGCCGGUGACAAACCGGAGGAAGGUGGGGAUGACGUCAAAUCAUCAUGCCCCUUAUGACCUGGGCUACACACGUGCUACAAUGGAUGGUACAACGAGUUGCGAACUCGCGAGAGUAAGCUAAUCUCUUAAAGCCAUUCUCAGUUCGGAUUGUAGGCUGCAACUCGCCUACAUGAAGUCGGAAUCGCUAGUAAUCGCGGAUCAGCAUGCCGCGGUGAAUACGUUCCCGGGCCUUGUACACACCGCCCGUCACACCAUGAGAGUUUGUAACACCCAAAGUCGGUGGGGUAACCUUUUAGGAACCAGCCG